This 328-nucleotide ribosomal RNA is filed under the name uncultured eukaryote. Its description in RNAcentral is "partial 18S ribosomal RNA". It matches the Rfam family "Eukaryotic small subunit ribosomal RNA", at positions 1470 to 1796 of the family's 1831-position model. The record is from RNAcentral.
CCCUUAGAUGUCCUGGGCCGCACGCGCGUUACACUGAUGCAUUCAACGAGCUUAUAACCUUGGCCGAGAGGCCUGGGCAAUCUUGUUAACGUGCAUCGUGAUAGGGAUAGAUUAUUGAAAUUAUUAAUCUUGAACGAGGAAUUCCUAGUAAACGCAGAUCAUCAAUCUGCAUUGAUUACGUCCCUGCCCUUUGUACACACCGCCCGUCGCACCUACCGAUUGGGUGGUCCGGUGAAGCCUCGGGAUUGUGGUUCUUGCCGCUUUAUUGUAGCGUGACCGCGAGAACUUGUCUAAACCUUAUCAUCUAGAGGAAGGUGAAGUCGUAACA